CCUACGUGAGGCAGCAGUGAGGAAUAUUGGUCAAUGGUCGGGAGACUGAACCAGCCAAGCCGCGUGAGGGAGGAAGGUACAGAGUAUCGUAAACCUCUUUUGUCAGGGAACAAAGACUUGGACGCGUCCCCGGAUGAGUGUACCCGAAGAAAAAGCAUCGGCUAACUCCGUGCCAGCAGCCGCGGUAAUACGGAGGCUGCGAGCGUUAUCCGGAUUUCUUGGGUUUAAAGGGUGCGCAGGCGGUAUGUUAAGUCAGCGGUCAAAGCGCGGGGCUCAACCCCGACCCGCCGUUGAAACUGGCAGUCUCGAGUGGGAGAGAAGUAUGCGGAAUGCGGGGUGUAGCGGUGAAAUGCAUAGAUAUCGCGCAGAACUCCGAUUGCGAAGGCAGCAUGCCGGCUCCACACUGACGCUGAGGCACGAAAGCGUGGGUAUCGAACAGGAUUAGAUACCCGUGUAGUC
Molecule: ribosomal RNA, 459 nt
Filed under: uncultured bacterium
Lineage: Bacteria
Description: partial 16S ribosomal RNA
Rfam family: Bacterial small subunit ribosomal RNA
Source: RNAcentral